CGGUUGUGGGCAACAAGUGUCAGUGGAAGAGCAACAAUCAACGAUUAUCAAUGGAUUCCCCUCUGAGUUUGAUCAUGCGGUUUCUAUCAUCACAACAACUAAGGUGUCGUUUGAUUUAUAGGACAUCACUACAGUGUUGUUUGACAAAGGGGUGUGCAAAUUUCGGGUAAAACCAAAUUAAUUCGGUUAACCGACCGAAUUCGG
This 204-nucleotide long non-coding RNA is filed under the name Gossypium barbadense (sea-island cotton). Its description in RNAcentral is "long non-coding RNA (GBAR_LNC000197)". The record is from RNAcentral. Lineage: Eukaryota; Viridiplantae; Streptophyta; Magnoliopsida; Malvales; Malvaceae.